RNAcentral lists this ribosomal RNA (447 nucleotides) under uncultured bacterium. Its description in RNAcentral is "bacterial SSU rRNA". It matches the Rfam family "Bacterial small subunit ribosomal RNA", at positions 355 to 825 of the family's 1533-position model. The record is from RNAcentral.
UGGGGAAUCUUGGACAAUGGGCGCAAGCCUGAUCCAGCCAUGCCGCGUGGAUGAUGAAGGCCCUAGGGUUGUAAAAUCCUUUCGUUGGGGACGAUAAUGACGGUACCCAAAGAAGAAGCUCCGGCUAACUUCGUGCCAGCAGCCGCGGUAAUACGAAGGGGGCUAGCGUUGUUCGGAUUUACUGGGCGUAAAGCGCGUGUAGGCGGGUCGUUAAGUUGGGGGUGAAAUCCCGAGGCUCAACCUCGGAACUGCCUUCAAAACUGGCGACCUGGACUCAAGUAGAGGCAAGUGGAAUUGCGAGUGUAGAGGUGAAAUUCGUAGAUAUUCGCAGGAACACCAGUGGCGAAGGCGACUUGCUGGACUUGUAGUGACGCUGAGACGCGAAAGCGUGGGGAGCAAACAGGAUUAGAUACCCACGUAGUCCCUGAGCGGGCUGGCAAGGCGCAU